AGAGGUGGUGGGACACCACCGAUUCAUUCCACCUCUCCGUCGCGGGAGACAUGACGAUGACUCCCUAUGACUUCUCGAUGCUCACCGGCAUCGGGGUAGGGGGUGAUCCAAUCCCCUUCGACAUAGAGAUGGAUGAGUGGUACGCGGCCCAGAUACACUUGCUUGGCACUCAGCCGCCACUCGCUCGGGCAGGAUAUGUGCGAUAUUCGUGGUUCGAGAGCCACUUCUGGGAUCAGGCGCCGACCACUCGGGUAGGGGAGGAGCAGUACGCACGCGGCUUCCUCAUAUUUCUAUUGGGGACGACCAUUUUUGCCGAUUGGGGGAACACCGUGCCCCUCUGCUUGCUGAGCGCUCUGGUGGACGUGACCAGGAUCCUGCGCUAUGACUGGGGUGGGGCAGCCUUAGCCACACUCUACAGGUACAUGAGCUCAGCCUCCCGUUGCAGUGGGCAGUUGCUCGGGGGUUACUGGCGAGCUUGGGAGUUGUGGGUCUACGCCUACUUUCCGAGGCUCGCGUCAGUGCCUGAUGAGGAGACCCCUCUCGUUGUUCCGUUCUAGUGCCGCUUUGACGUGAGGUGCGUGCGGAGGCCCCGGGAGACGUUUAUCUUCUUCCGCCGCUACUUCGACACCAUCACCCCUGCAAAGAUCACUUGGCAGCCUUGGGCUCCAUUGCCUGCGAUGAUUCGAGAUCGA
This is a non-coding RNA of Camellia sinensis, 692 nucleotides long. The record is from RefSeq and is a predicted model, not a curated record. NCBI's taxonomy places the organism in Eukaryota, Viridiplantae, Streptophyta, Magnoliopsida, Ericales, Theaceae.